GAUUAGGAAAUAUGUGGGGAAUCUCUCGGAAUGGAGGUGGCGAACUGGUGAGUAACACGUGGGAAACCUGCCCAGAAGCGGGGGAUAACACCUGGAAACAGAUGCUAAUACCGCAUAACAACUUGGACCGCAUGGUCCGAGUUUGAAAGAUGGCUUCGGCUAUCACUUUUGGAUGGUCCCGCGGCGUAUUAGCUAGAUGGUGGGGUAACGGCUCACCAUGGCAAUGAUACGUAGCCGACCUGAGAGGGUAAUCGGCCACAUUGGGACUGAGACACGGCCCAAACUCCUACGGGAGGCAGCAGUAGGGAAUCUUCCACAAUGGACGAAAGUCUGAUGGAGCAACGCCGCGUGAGUGAAGAAGGGUUUCGGCUCGUAAAACUCUGUUGUUAAAGAAGAACAUAUCUGAGAGUAACUGUUCAGGUAUUGACGGUAUUUAACCAGAAAGCCACGGCUAACUACGUGCCAGCAGCCGCGGUAAUASGUAGGUGGCAAGCGUUGUCCSGAUUUUAUUGGGCGUAAAAGCGAGCGGCAGGCGUGUUUUUUUAAGUCUGAUGUGAAAAGCCUUCGGCUCAACCGAAGAAGUGCAUCUGGAAACUGGGGAAACUUGAGUGCAGAAGAAGGACAGUGGAACUCCAUGUGUAGCGGUGAAAUGCGUAGAUAUAUUGGAAGAACACCAGUGGSGAAGGCGGCUGUCUGGUCUGUAACUGACGCUGAGGCUCGAAAGUAUGGGUAGCAAACAGGAUUAGAUUACCCUGGUAGUCCAUACCGUAAACGAUGAAUGCUAAGUGUUGGAGGGUUUCCGCCCUUUCAGUGSUGCAGCUAACGCAUUAAGCAUUCCCGCCUGGGGAGUACGGCCGCAAGGCUGAAACUCAAAGGAAUUGACGGGGGCCCGCACAAGCGGUGGGAGCAUGUGSUUUAMUUYGAAGCUWCSCCGAAGAGAUCCUUACCAGGUUCUUGACRUACUAUGUCAAAUCUAAGAGAUUAGACGUUCCCUUCGGGGACAUGGAUACAGGUGGUGCAUGGUUGUUGUCAGCUCGUGUCGUGAGAUGUUGGGUUAAGUCCCGCAACGAGCGCAACCCUUAUUAUCAGUUGCCAGCAUUAAGUUGGGCACUCUGGUGAGACUGCCGGUGACAAACCGGAGGAAGGUGGGGAGGACGUCAAAUCAUCAUGCCCCUUAUGACCUGGGGUACACACGUGCUACAAUGGAUGGUACAACGAGUUGCGAACUCGCGAGAGUAAGGUAAUCUCUUAAAGCCAUUCUCAGUUCGGAUUGUAGGUGCAAAUCGCCUACCUGAAGUCGGAAUCGCUAGUAAUCGCGGAUCAGCCUGGUGCGGUGAAUAAGUUCCCAGGUUUGUUGUUCCACACACACAUG
Molecule: ribosomal RNA, 1372 nt
Filed under: Lactiplantibacillus plantarum
Lineage: Bacteria; Bacillati; Bacillota; Bacilli; Lactobacillales; Lactobacillaceae
Description: bacterial SSU rRNA
Rfam family: Bacterial small subunit ribosomal RNA
Source: RNAcentral